RNAcentral lists this small nuclear RNA (184 nucleotides) under Sus scrofa (pig). Its description in RNAcentral is "7SK RNA". It matches the Rfam family "7SK RNA", at positions 1 to 184 of the family's 331-position model. Rfam says of the family: 7SK was discovered as an abundant small nuclear RNA in the mid-70s but a possible function has only recently been suggested. Two independent studies have found that 7SK RNA binds the CDK9/cyclin T complex (known as elongation factor P-TEFb). The record is from Rfam by way of RNAcentral. Lineage: Eukaryota; Metazoa; Chordata; Mammalia; Artiodactyla; Suidae.
GGAUGUGAGGGCAAUCUGGCUGUAACACCUGUCACCCCAUUGAUUGCCAAGGUUGAUUGGGCUCAUCUGGCAAACUCGGUGGGUGUCCCCUUCCUCCCUCACUGCUCCAUGAGCUUCCCUCCUGAAGCUGUGCACUCAGCAGAAGAGGAAGACCAUCCCUGAUGGAGGAGGACUGUUCUGCAAG